Molecule: long non-coding RNA, 326 nt
Organism: Gambusia affinis (western mosquitofish)
Lineage: Eukaryota; Metazoa; Chordata; Actinopteri; Cyprinodontiformes; Poeciliidae
Exons: 3
Source: RefSeq, a predicted model, not a curated record
GCAACUCUUGGCUUUGGCUCUCGUUUUCCUCUUCCUGCUUGAUUUCUCUCUCCAGCUUUUGAAAGUCCGAAUCCUCUGAGGUUUUUGUCUGCUCCUCGCUUUCCUGGGCGACAUCAGAGACCUGGGUCAUCUCAGACUCCUGUUCUCCAUCCAGCAGGGCGCACUCCACCUCCAUCUGCAGAAAGGUCAGACAAAGGUCUUUGAUCUUCUGCUCCAGCUCUUCGAUGUUGUUCAGCACCUGGAUUCUCUCUUCCUCUAAAUGAGACACUUCCUGUUUCAGCUGCAUGCUCUCCAAGGCCUGUAACGACACCGAGAAUGGAAAUAAA